GAUCCUGGCUCAGAACGACGCUGCGGCAUGCCUAACACAUGCAAGUCGAACGAGACCUUCGGGUCUAGUGGCGCACGGGUGCGUAACGCGUGGGAAUCUGCCCUGGGGUGCGGAAUAACUCGGAGAAAUCCGUGCUAAUACCGCAUAAUGUCUUCGGACCAAAGAUUUAUCGCCCUGGGUUGAGCCCGCGUAGGAUUAGCUAGUUGGUGGGGUAAAGGCCUACCAAGGCGACGAUCCUUAGCUGGUCUGAGAGGAUGAUCAGCCACACUGGGACUGAGACACGGCCCAGACUCCUACGGGAGGCAGCAGUGGGGAAUAUUGGACAAUGGGCGAAAGCCUGAUCCAGCAAUGCCGCGUGAGUGAUGAAGGCCCUAGGGUUGUAAAGCUCUUUUACCCGGGAUGAUAAUGACAGUACCGGGAGAAUAAGCUCCGGCUAACUCCGUG
This 444-nucleotide ribosomal RNA is filed under the name uncultured bacterium. RNAcentral's name for it is "bacterial SSU rRNA". It matches the Rfam family "Bacterial small subunit ribosomal RNA", at positions 15 to 507 of the family's 1533-position model. The record is from RNAcentral.